Molecule: ribosomal RNA, 208 nt
Filed under: uncultured bacterium
Lineage: Bacteria
Description: partial 16S ribosomal RNA
Rfam family: Bacterial small subunit ribosomal RNA
Source: RNAcentral
UUCGUAGGCGGUUUCGUAAGUCGGAUGUGAAAACUCCAGGCUCAACUUGGAGACGCCAUUCGAUACUGCGAUGACUUGAGUCCGGUAGGGGAGUGUGGAAUUCCUGGUGUAGCGGUGAAAUGCGCAGAUAUCAGGAGGAACACCGGCGGCGAAGGCGGCACUCUGGGCCGGUACUGACGCUGAGGAGCGAAAGCGUGGGUAGCAAACA